GAUGAACGCUGGCGGCGUGCCUAAUACAUGCAAGUCGAGCGAACAGACGAGGAGCUUGCUCCUCUGACGUUAGCGGCGGACGGGUGAGUAACACGUGGAUAACCUACCUAUAAGACUGGGAUAACUUCGGGAAACCGGAGCUAAUACUGGAUAAUAUAUUGAACCGCAUGGUUCAAUAGUGAAAGACGGUUUUGCUGUCACUUAUAGAUGGAUCCGCGCCGCAUUAGCUAGUUGGUAAGGUAACGGCUUACCAAGGCAACGAUGCGUAGCCGACCUGAGAGGGUGAUCGGCCACACUGGAACUGAGCCACGGUCCAGACUCCUACGGGAGGCAGCAGUAGGGAAGCUUCCGCAAUGGGCGAAAGCCUGACGGAGCAACGCCGCGUGAGUGAUGAAGGUCUUCGGAUCGUAAAACUCUGUUAUUAGGGAAGAACAAAUGUGUAAGUAACUAUGCACGUCUUGACGGUACCUAAUCAGAAAGCCACGGCUAACUACGUG
This 497-nucleotide ribosomal RNA is filed under the name uncultured bacterium. Its description in RNAcentral is "partial 16S ribosomal RNA". It matches the Rfam family "Bacterial small subunit ribosomal RNA", at positions 28 to 507 of the family's 1533-position model. The record is from RNAcentral.